RNAcentral lists this ribosomal RNA (694 nucleotides) under uncultured Glomeromycotina. RNAcentral's name for it is "SSU rRNA". It matches the Rfam family "Eukaryotic small subunit ribosomal RNA", at positions 346 to 1045 of the family's 1831-position model. The record is from RNAcentral. Lineage: Eukaryota; Fungi; Glomeromycota.
AUGGUGGUAACGGGUAACGGGGUGUUAGGGCACGACACCGGAGAGGGAGCCUGAGAAACGGCUACCACAUCCAAGGAUGGCAGCAGGCGCGCAAAUUACCCAAUCCCGACACGGGGAGGUAGUGACAAUAAAUAACAAUACGGGGUUCUUUAGGAUCUCGUAAUUGGAAUGAGUACAAUUUAAAUCUCUUAACGAGGAACAAUUGGAGGGCAAGUCUGGUGCCAGCAGCCGCGGUAAUUCCAGCUCCAAUAGCGUAUAUUAAAGUUGUUGCAGUUAAAAAGCUCGUAGUUGAAUUUCGGGACCAAUUUGUUGGUCGUGCCUCGGUACGUACUGGUAUUAUUGGUUUCUCCCUUCUGAAGAACCUCGAUGCCAUUAAUUUGGUGUCGUGGGGAAUCAGGACUGUUACUUUGAAAAAAUUAGAGCGUUUAAAGCAGGCAUACGCUUGAAUACAUUAGCAUGGAAUAAUGAAAUAGGACGUUUGAUUCUAUUUUGUUGGUUUCUAGGAUCGACGUAAUGAUUAAUAGGGAUAGUUGGGGGCAUUAGUAUUCAAUUGUCAGAGGUGAAAUUCUUGGAUUUAUUGAAGACUAACUACUGCGAAAGCAUUUGCCAAGGAUGUUUUCAUUAAUCAAGAACGAAAGUUAGGGGAUCGAAGACGAUCAGAUACCGUCGUAGUCUUAACCAUAAACUAUGCCGA